GAUGAACGCUGGCGGCGUGCCUAAUACAUGCAAGUCGAGCGAACAGACGAGGAGCUUGCUCCUUCGACGUUAGCGGCGGACGGGUGAGUAACACGUAGGUAACCUACCUAUAAGACUGGGAUAACUUCGGGAAACCGGAGCUAAUACCGGAUAAUAUUUCGAACCGCAUGGUUCGAUAGUGAAAGAUGGCUUUGCUAUCACUUAUAGAUGGACCUGCGCCGUAUUAGCUAGUUGGUAAGGUAACGGCGUACCAAGGCAACGAUACGUAGCCGACCUGAGAGGGUGAUCGGCCACACUGGAACUUAGCCACGGUCCAGACUCCUACGGGAGGCAGCAGUAGGGAAUCGUCCGCAAUGGGCGAAAGCCUGACGGAGCAACGCCGCGUGAGUGAUGAAGGUCUUCGGAUCGUAAAACUCUGUUAUUAGGGAAGAACAAACGUGUAAGUAACUGUGCACGUCUUGACGGUACCUAAUCAGAAAGCCACGGCUAACUACGUG
RNAcentral lists this ribosomal RNA (497 nucleotides) under uncultured bacterium. RNAcentral's name for it is "partial 16S ribosomal RNA". It matches the Rfam family "Bacterial small subunit ribosomal RNA", at positions 28 to 507 of the family's 1533-position model. The record is from RNAcentral.